GACGAACGCUGGCGGCGUGCUUAACACAUGCAAGUCGUACGAUGACCCGGCUCUUCGGAGCUGGUGAUUAGUGGCGAACGGGUGAGUAACACGUGGGUGACCUGCCCUGCACUCUGGGAUAAGCCCGGGAAACUGGGUCUAAUACUGGAUACGACCAGUGGCCGCAUGGUCUGCUGGUGGAAAGCCCUUCGGGGUGGUGUGGGAUGGGCCCGCGGCCUAUCAGCUUGUUGGUGGGGUGAUGGCCUACCAAGGCGACGACGGGUAGCCGGCCUGAGAGGGUGUCCGGCCACACUGGGACUGAGACACGGCCCAGACUCCUACGGGAGGCAGCAGUGGGGAAUCUUGCACAAUGGGCGAAAGCCUGAUGCAGCGACGCCGCGUGAGGGAUGACGGCCUUCGGGUGGUAAACCUCUUUCGGCAGGGAACAAGCCUGGGGGUUUUCUUCUGGGUGAGGGUACCUGCGGAAGAAGCACCGGCUAACUACGUG
RNAcentral lists this ribosomal RNA (487 nucleotides) under uncultured bacterium. RNAcentral's name for it is "partial 16S ribosomal RNA". It matches the Rfam family "Bacterial small subunit ribosomal RNA", at positions 28 to 507 of the family's 1533-position model. The record is from RNAcentral.